GUGAAAUGCACAUCAACACCUACUUUAAUAGGGGCCUGCUGCAAUAAACGUCAAUAGCCCAAGGACUACUGAAACAGCAAUACAUGAGUAGAUCUGCACCCUUAGAGUCAAUUAUUGGCAUCAGACUGAGAAACUCAUCAGUCAUAGGCAGUCCAGGCUUCAGUGGGAAGCAUUCUUCGGGAGCCCUGGAACAGAUGUUGGAGAUCAGGGUCUCCAUAAGAAGAAAUUGGCAGGACAAGGCUGUGAGAGAGAUGGAGCUUGGUGGGCAGGGAGCGUUCGAAGUUUAGGAUCAUCUGAUGUUACAAAGUGGGUAUAUGUCAAAUGAUAUGCAUCUGGUGCAGAAAUGAUCAGACAUGGAAAUUAUACCACAUUCCUAGAGUGAUGCAAAAUGACCUGGAACUGGUUGCUUUUAUAUUUUCUAUACAAAACACGUGAUUGAAAUCCCAGGUGAAAUCUGUCUGACCUCCUAAAUGGCAUCUGCUUCACCGUUAUCCAACGCCAGAGGUCCUCCAAGACCACCAUCACCCCUCCCUUGGAAUAAGGAAGCAUUAGAUGUUCCCCUUUCCCACCACCAUAAUCCAAGGUAAACUCACGACUGAGAACCCCUCCCAAAGAUGACGCUCGAAUCGCAAUCGGUGCUCCCUCCCUCCUUAUCUCAUUCGCUCCUCCAAUCCAACGAUCUAUUCUCAUAGACUUUGUAAAUGUUGAGAAGGCUAUCUGCCUGUGUAGUGUAUAUAAUGGUAACUGUAACUUUAAGAACUGAGUACCAGAAUGGUAUGAUUUGUGUUAUGUGAUAUAUUCAUUAUCUGAUCAGUAUCGUGAAUAUGUGUGAGUAUGCGCAGUGUACAUUUGCAAAAUAAAGACGACCCACACAGGCAACAAUGUGUACUGAAAACCUGUGCUUGUUUUUAUCCACAUGCUGAAGCCGUAAUAUCUUACAGCAUGAGAGGUUGAAGCCUGUCAAUCGGAUUGCCUCCGGCAGGAAUUGUACUCUUGCCGUUAAAUACUGCAGGAUGUUCGGCAAAACGAGCUCUAGUUUUCUCGACCUUGCAGUCUUCCCUCUCCUAAUGUUGAAAACCGCUGGCCGACAAAACCUGAGCCAUAUCUAUAAUGUAUACCGAGAUGAAAAUGAUACUGUUGGAAUCUUAAUGUCACCGCCUCCAAUAUGAACCAAUUCCAAUUCUGUCAAAAUUAAAGCCCAGAUAUUACUGAGACUUAACUGCUGUGCCUGUUCUCGUCAUGCAGCUUUCAAAUUAAAGCAUUAAAACAUAAA
Molecule: long non-coding RNA, 1273 nt
Organism: Amblyraja radiata (thorny skate)
Lineage: Eukaryota; Metazoa; Chordata; Chondrichthyes; Rajiformes; Rajidae
Exons: 2
Source: RefSeq, a predicted model, not a curated record